AAAGCAUAAUCUAAUAAGCCGGUUCACAAUUGCAGGUAUCGAUCCCAAUAAGUAAGACAAUGAAAGCAAAAGAGAGUGAAAAUAGGGAAAAGCCAUCACAGAAGUAUAUACAAGUAAUUACAGAGGAUGAUUUUGAGUUCUGGUUUAUGGGAUUCCUUAAUCAUCAAAAAACUCUGAGAUAUCUGCAGCAGGCAAUUUCAAGUAGUUCAAGCAGCUAAGAAGACAGCUUCUUCUUCAUUAGGAAAUACGCCAAUUCAUCAAUGUAAAAUAUAGAUGCAAAAAUGAAUGUAAAGAUCUUUUCAAACUUGUAAUUAGCUCAAUUCCUCAAAGGAGGCUUUAGGUUUCUUAGGCUUUGAGCUGUUGCUGCCAACACAAAUGUAUAGAAUUAUUGUAAAACUAAUGCAGUCAGAAGGCUAAUUCAUCUUUUGGGACUUGGCAUAGUCAGCACUUCCUAAGUGAACACUUGAGUAGCAGAUCAAAAUGCUCCUCGAGUAGCAUAUUUAAAAUAUUAUGUUAAGUUCCCAACAAAGGGAGCUCCCCUUGAUAAUAGAAAUACAGUAAAUAACAGAUGGUAACAGAUAAAUAUAUCAAGAAACUACAUGAAUAAGACUAAUACUACAACCAACACGGUGCUCCAGACUACCAACAAGCCUAAUCCCGUCAAAAAACAAGACAACGCUCCAAUGCUUACUAGUCUUCUACCCUAAUCUGCAACGUUCAUACCCUCCUAUCUAAGGUCAUGUAUUCAGUACGCUGAAGUUGCAUCAUGUCUGAUUUGAUCACCUCUCCCCAAUACUUCUUUCGUCUACCUCUACCUCUCCUUGUACCCACUAUAUCCAACAUCUUACACUUGGUCAUUGGGGCAUCUACAAAUCUCCUUUUUCACAUGCCCAAACCAUCUCAGUGUUGCUUCUCUCAUCUUGUCCACCACAAAGGGAACUCCCACCUUGUUCCCGAUAUCCUCAUUCCUAAUCUAUCGCUCUUAGUAUGCCCACACAUCACAUCUAUCUCAACAUCCUCAUUUCCGCAACUUCCAUCUUUUGAAAUGAGAGUUCUUGACUGACCAAGACUUUGCCCCAUACAACAAAGUUUGUCUAACUAUCACUCUACAAAACUUACCUUUAAGUUUUGAUGGUACCUUUUCAUCACAUAAGACUCUAGAGGCAAGCUCCAUAUCAUCUACACCAACUACUUAACUUUAAUGUCAUGUAUAAAUCCGUGUCAUUAUCUUGUCAACCUUGAUCAUACAAGACUGAUAAAGCUAACUUGAGAUAAAUCUUUUACUCAACUAGUAAAAGAAGCAUACAUCAGAAAGUAAAUCUGCCAACUCAAAAGUUGACAACACCACAUGUGCAAACAAAUCUUAAUAAUAAAAUAAGGCAGCAUGAGAUAGUUUACUGUAAUUAAAAAGACAAAUAAAAGAAGACAUUUUAAAAACCUUUGCAGCAAAUUGAGAAAUAUUCUAUUUUGCUGACCCAUAGCUGACUCAUGCAAACAGUUAAUAGUUAAAAGAUUCAUCAACUUUGCCCAAACUGCAGUGUAUAUAUAUAGUGCUGCAAGGAAUGUUCUUAAACCAUCAACCAUAACAUAAUAAUAUCUCAGUUACCUUCACAAUAUAGCAACUCUCUUCAAAAUCCGAAGUCACAAUGAAGAACUUACUCGGUAGAAAUGAGGUGGGUGUUCCCAUGAGUUCAGCAGUAUACUCAUUUGAACGGCAGCCAAACAGACUACUGUCUCUAUCUGCCUGUCAAGACCGUCUUCCAUCCGAAACUUCAAAACACUUACCUAAAAUAAAGCAAAGUAAGUUUUUUCCCUCGAAGAAUAUUCGACUUGUUCAUGUACUAGUUAUAGAGAGUAUUAAUGACCCUCGAAGAAGAGAUCUCUAAAAUUAGCUAUUCUUGAAUAUGCAGGAAAAUCUGUAAUUAGUAAGAUGAACAAACUUGGAGAAAGGAUGGACUAUCUUGCACAAGGCAUCCGCGAGCAUGGUGAGCAUUUAUAUUCAAGAUGAAGACUUAAAAAAACAAUCGAAAAUUUACCGUGACAAUAUUUUAUUUAAGUUUAAAACUAGUAUUUCGAAGUUGAAAUUGUGUGCGGACAUGAGUUUACUUGGAAAAGAAAAGGUUGAAGUAUUUUGAAUGAAAACUAUCAUCUUACUAGAAAAAUUCCUAAAAUAAGUUUUUAAAUAAUUUUACCACUAUUUCAUAUACUGAAGUUCAAUAGUUAUAAAUAUGGAGCCAAACAUCAACUUUCAAAUAAUGACAUCAGUAUUUGCAAGUGAAAUCAUGGCCAAACACAGGUCGUAAUCUAAUCAUCAACAGAUAAAGACAGCCAAGAUGUACAAAAUUUUGUGCAAUAAGCACUAUUAAUAUGUAUGACAGAAAGUACUGAGUGUAAAGUCCUUAAUGUUUCAACUUUAAUUCUGCAGUGAGCCUUGGUCCGAAGCUAACGGAAACUGUGAAGGGAAAAUUGUGCCUUGGAGCAAAAAUUCUUCAAGUAGGAGGGUUGGAGAAAAUAUUCAAACAGAAGUUUAGUGUUAAAGAUGAUGAAGAGCUAUUGAAUGUUUCUCAAUGCUAUUUAUCAACGACAGCUGGUCCAAUAGCAGGCCUUCUCUUCAUCUCUACCGAUAAGAUUGCGUUCUGCAGUGAGAGAUCAAUCAAGUUCUUAUCUCCAACUGGAAAGUUGCUUAGAAUCUACUAUAAGGUACCACUCUGCUCCAUAUUCCAACUCUUAAUUUUGUAUCCACGUAAAGCAUAAUCUAAUAAGCCGGUUCAUAAUUGCAGGUAUCGAUCCCAAUAAGUAAGACAAUGAAAGCAAAAGAGAGUGAAAAUAGGGAAAAACCAUCACAGAACUCUGAGAUAUCUGCAUCAGAGGAUGAUUUUGAGUUCUGGUUUAUGGGAUUCCUUAAUCAUCAAAAGACUCUGAGAUAUCUGCACCAGGCAAUUUCAAGUACUUCAAGCAGCUAAGAAGACAACAUAUUUUCGUUUCUUUUUUCAUUUUUUUUCUUAUUACACCCAUUCAUCAAUGUAAAAUGAAUGUACAGAUCUCUUCAAACUUGUAAUUAGCUCCAUUGUUCAAAGGAGAUUUUAGGUUUCUUAGUCUUUGAGUCGUAGCUGUUAACACGAAUGUAUACGCAUAUUGUAAAAGUAAUGCAGUCAGAAAGCUAAUUCAACUUUUGGGACUUGGCAUUGUCAUCACUUCCUAGCAGAUCGUAAUGCUCCUCGAAAAACAUAUUCAAAAUUUUAUGGCAAGUUCUCAACAAGGGGAGAGAUUAUCCUCCUUUAGGUAUAGACAGUCCAUAGAAAAAUAAGAAGAGGAAUGUGUUCUAAAUCCAAAUGCUCUUGGAUGGGUAGUCGAAUUGGGGGAUAAAUCUUUUUUGCUCCUUUAUAUAGAAUCUAAUCAAUCACUUUGAGAUCAUGAGAACCUUGUGAUUUGAUAUAAAUUUCAUUUAUUUUAUUUUAUCAGGUAAAUAUUUUCAUUAUUAACAAGGCCAAAAAAGGCCAUAUACAAGAGGUAUACCAACCAGUAAAGGACCUACACAAAGAUAUGGUUCUUUACAAAGGACACAUAAUCCUCUAUACAACCCGUAACUACACGGGUGCACCAAAAACAAAUAAGGGAUUGGAGACUACUCUUCAACUGCCAAAAACUCAAUUCUACCCCUUUGAAAGACCUCAAAUUUCUCUCUCAGACGAUCCACAUCAAUGCCCUAGGAACAACAUUCUAGGCCCUGCAUUUUCUCCUGCUUCUUCCAGCUUUCCAGUAAAACAACAGUUCUUUCACAGUUCUCGGCAUUCCCCAUGACAUUACAAAUCAGCUUAACAUGUCCUACCAUGGUCCCAUGGCCAAGCUACAAUGUAGCAGAAGAUCAUCUACGUCUUCGUCCCAUCUCCUCGCAUAAGUAAUACCAGCUGAUGCAAAUAACUUUUGUUUUCCUAAGGUUCUUUGUCGUCAAGAUCACCCGUCUAGCAGCUAACCAAGUGUAAAAGCACACCUUCCUCGGAACCUUGGGAAUCUGAAUAGACUUAACAGGAAAACCCUCCUUAACCCUCACUAAAAGCUUCUCACCGAAGACUUGAUAGGAAAAACACCAUUGUUUCCCAACCUCCAUCUUAUCGAAACGGUUCUGUCACCUGCCUCACAAUGCUGACGGAGUACCAGUAGCAUCCUUUCAAACUCAUUCACCUCCCAAUCCUGGAAAGCUCUCCUAAACCUCAAAUCCCAAAAUGUUACUUCUGCUUGUCCCCGGGGACAUCUGUUGGCUACCGCCUCCCUAUGACAAGAUAUCCAAUAAAAGCUUGGAAACUCAACUUUAAGCGACAUGUCUCCCACUUUUCUUACCCGAGUCUUGGAUCUAUUAUACAUGUCCUUCAUCGCCUUAAUGUAAGCCCCCAAGACACCUUUAGCCUCCAAACAUCAACAUAUGACUUCCCUCGGGACUUUUGUCUUAUGCCUUUUCUAGGUCAAUAGACACCAUAUGUAAGUCCCUCUUCCAUUCCUAUACUUCUCCUCUAGUCAACUCACAAGAUGAAUGGCUUCUGAGUAUGUUGGUAAUAUGUGAAGGGAUUAAAUUGAACACACAUUUGUCUAUUAAGAGAAUGGCUUUUCCAGAAAGUUCGUGUAAAAUAGCUUGCAAUAUACUAGGCACUCUUUUUUUCUCAAUGUUGUUUCCUAUUUCUCUAAACAGAAAAUACAAGCACUUUUUUAUCUUAAAUUACCUUCUAAAAAUACUUGACAUUUCUCUCAUGAUUUUUCAAAGGCAACAGUUGGUGUAGAAGAAGAUAAGUUAAAUUACUCAAAAAAAUUAUAUCAUUUGUCAUGCAUGUAUGGUAUGUUCCACAUAAAUACAGAAAUGGCCUACAAAACCUGCCUUUACACCUCAAGAUGAUGAGACGAAAAAAAAGGUCAGAUAAGGUAACUGCGUUAAAAGAGAAAUUAUUAUAAUCUAGAACAGUUGGCCCUAUGUAACAGGUUGAAAUAGUUGAAUGGCUACUUUUCCCCUUUGCCUGAUUUAUUGAGCAGCAAAUCAAAGUUCAUAGAUGACUCAUUCAUGAUCAACAACCACUACUUAACUUUAAUGUCAUUAACCCGUGUUAUUAUGUUGUCAACCUAGAUCAUACAAAACUAAUAAAGCUACCUUGAGAUAAUUUUACUAUGCACCAAAAAGCUUCUCUUACUUUUACUCAACUUGUAAAAGCAGGUUACAUCAGAAAGCAAAUCUUCCAACUCAAAAGUUGACAACACCACAUGUGCACAUAAAUCUUAAUAGUAAAAUAAGGCAGAAUGAGAUAGUUUACUGUAAUUGAAAUGACAGCUAAAAGAAGACAUUUUCAAAAUCUUUGCAGAAAAUUGAGAAAUAUUCUAUUUUGAUGACCCAUAGCUGACUCAUGCACCAAUUAGUAGUUAAAAGAUUCAUCCACUUCUCCCAAACUGAUGUGUAUAUAUAUAGUGCUGCAAGGAAUGUUCUUAAACCAUCAACAAAAAACGUAAUAAUAUCUCAGUUACCUUCACAAUAUAGCAAUUCUCUUCAAAAAUCAGAAGUCACAAUGAAGAACUUACUUGGUCGAAAUGAGGUUGGUGUUUCCAUGAGUUCAGCAGUAUACUCAUUUGAACGGCAGCCAAAAAGACUACUGUCUCUAUCUGCUUGCCAAAACCAUCUUCCGUCUGCAACUCUAAAACACUUGUCGAAAAUAAAGCAAAGUGAGUAUUUUACCUCGAAGGAUAAUCAUUUUGUUCUUGUAUUAGUUAUAAAGAGUAUUAAUGACCCUAGAAGAAGAGAUCAUUAAAAUUAUAUAUUCUUGAAUAUGCAGGAAAAUCUGUAAUUAGUAAGAUGAACAAACUUGGAGAAAGGAUGGACUGUCUUGCACAAGGCAUCCGUGAGCAUGGUGAGCACUUAUAUUCAUGAUGAAAACUUAAAAUGAACAAUCGAAAAUUUACCAAGACAAUAUUUUAUUUAAGUUUAAAACUAGUAUUUCGAAGUUGAAAUUGUGUGCGGACAUGAGUUUACUUCGAAAAGUAAAGGUUGAAGAAUUGUGAAUGAAAACAAUCAUCCCACAAGAAAAAUUCCUAAAACAAGUUUUUAAAAUAAUUUUACCACUAUUUCAAAUACUGAAGUUCAAUAUUUAUAAAUAUGGUGCCAAACAUCAACUUUCAAAUAAUGACAUCAGUAUUUGCAAGUGAAAUCAUGGCCAAACACAAGUGCAAAUCUCAUGACAACGGAUAAAGGGCGUCAAGAUGUACAAAAUUUUGUGCAAUAAGCACUAUUUACAUGUAUGACAGAAAGUACUGAUGUGAAGUCCUUAAUGUUUCAACUUUAAUUGUGCAGUGAGCCUUAGCCCGAAGCUAACGGACACUGUGAAGGGAAAAUUGAGCCUUGGAGCAAAAAUUCUUCAUGUAGGAGGGUUGGAGAAAAUAUUCAAGCAGAAGUUUAGUGUUAAAGAUGACGAAGAGUUAUUGAAUGUUUCUCAAUGCUAUUUAUCAACUACAUCUGGGGCAAUAGCAGGCCUUCUCUUCAUCUCUACCGAUAAGAUUGCUUUCUGCAGUGAGAGAUCAAUAAAGUUCUUAUCUCCAACUGGAAAGUUGCUUAGAAUCUACUAUAAGGUACCACUUUUCUCCGUUUUUCUUCCAACUCUUAAUUUGUAUCCACGUAAAGCAUAAUCUAAUAAGCUGGUUCACAAUUGCAGGUAUCGAUCCCAAUAAGUAAGACAAUGAAAGCAAAAGAGAGUGAAAAUAGGGAAAAGCCAUCACAGAAGUAUAUACAAGUAAUUACAGAGGAUGAUUUUGAGUUCUGGUUUAUGGGAUUCCUUAAUCAUCAAAAGACUCUGAGGUAUCUGCACCACGCAAUUUCAAGUACUUCAAGCAGCUAAGAAGAUAAAACAUUUUUUUCAUUUUUUUUUCCUAAUACGCCCAUUCAUCAAUGAAUGUACAGAUCUCUUCAAACAUGUAACUAGCUCCAUUCCUCAAUUGAGGCUUUUGAGUUUUUUAGGCUUUGAGCCGUAGCUGUCAACACAAAUGUAUAAAUUUAUUGUAAAAUUAAUGCAGUCAGAUUCAUCUUUUGGGACUUGGCAUAGUCAUCACUUCCUAUUUGACCGUUUGAGUAGCAGAUCGUUACGGGAACCCAAAUUUGAGGUAGUGUUCAUUCUAACAUAACAAGUUCAAUGGGUAAUAACAAGGUACUUUGUGUUGUUAAAGCACUUAUCCCUCUUAUAGAAAAUGACUGUAAUGCAUAUUACUCUCUGAGGAGCUAAGGUAUUGUUAAAUAGCUGAUAUAACAGGAAACAGUGACAAACUCUAUAAUGCAACCUGUUACCAUAAAAAGUUGGAUAAAUUCUUAAAGGGAUUAGUAAAUGUCUAGAGUAGCAGGGUACAUAUUAACUAACUCCACUUAUAUAAAUACUAGUUUUACGGAACGUGCGUUACACGUUUAACUCAAAGUACAUAAUACAAAUCUUAUAUUGCAAAUGAUAUAGUUAAAUAAUAUAUAUUUUAUUUCACUUUUUCAGUACAAUAAAAUAAAAAUCAAAACAUAUAAAAAAAGUAACAACUCAUAAGUUAAAGGCUAAAAAAUCUUACAAACAUGAUACAUAUUUUAGUGACAUAUAACACCUUAAUUUAAAUACUCAUUGAAUAGACAAUAAGAAAUAAACUGAUGCGCAUAUAUUGAAUCCCAUCAUGAUCAAUCCAAAUACACAAAAAUCUUAUAAAAUUUGCUUCGGCUCAACCACAUGUACAUUAAAAAGUAAGAAAGUAGAAAAGGGAGAUAAUUGUAUAUUAAUUAGUAUAGCGACAUAAACCUAAAAAUAUGAUAACAUUAAGUUAUCAAUUAAUAUACUUUGUUAAUUAAGUACCUGAAACUAAAAUUAGUGGAGAAGAAGAAAUUAACUAAAUAAGAAGAGCUUGUGCAGACUGUAGUGAGAAAAAGAUCAUAACUCAUAAGCACAAAUAGAGAUCUUUAAUAAGAACAAUGAAAAUUGAAAUGCAAAUGAUGAAUCAGUUGGAAGGGAAUAGAAAAUAAUAAUAAUAAUAAUAAUAAUAAUAAUAAUAAUAAUAAUAAUAAUAAUAAUAAUAAUAAUAAUAAUAAUAAUAAUAAUAAUAAUAAUAAUAAUAAUAAUAAUAAUAAUAAUAAUAAUAAUAAUAAUAAUAAUAAUAAUAAUAAUAAUAAUAAUAAUAAUAAUAAUAAUAAUAAUAAUAAUAAUAAUAAUAAUAAUAAUAAUAAUAAUAAUAAUAAUAAUAAUAAUAAUAAUAAUAAUAAUAAUAAUAAUAAUAAUAAUAAUAAUAAUAAUAAUAAUAAUAAUAAUAAUAAUAAUAAUAAUAAUAAUAAUAAUAAUAAUAAUAAUAAUAAUAAUAAUAAUAAUAAUAAUAAUAAUAAUAAUAAUAAUAAUAAUAAUAAUAAUAAUAAUAAUAAUAAUAAUAAUAAUAAUAAUAAUAAUAAUAAUAAUAAUAAUAAUAAUAAUAAUAAUAAUAAUAAUAAUAAUAAUAAUAAUAAUAAUAAUAAUAAUAAUAAUAAUAAUAAUAAUAAUAAUAAUAAUAAUAAUAAUAAUAAUAAUAAUAAUAAUAAUAAUAAUAAUAAUAAUAAUAAUAAUAAUAAUAAUAAUAAUAAUAAUAAUAAUAAUAAUAAUAAUAAUAAUAAUAAUAAUAAUAAUAAUAAUAAUAAUAAUAAUAAUAAUAAUAAUAAUAAUAAUAAUAAUAAUAAUAAUAAUAAUAAUAAUAAUAAUAAUAAUAAUAAUAAUAAUAAUAAUAAUAAUAAUAAUAAUAAUAAUAAUAAUAAUAAUAAUAAUAAUAAUAAUAAUAAUAAUAAUAAUAAUAAUAAUAAUAAUAAUAAUAAUAAUAAUAAUAAUAAUAAUAAUAAUAAUAAUAAUAAUAAUAAUAAUAAUAAUAAUAAUAAUAAUAAUAUAUGAAUGAUAUGAUGAUGAUAUAUACAUUGUUUUAUCUAUCAUAACUUUUCAAAAUUUUCCAUUGAGAAUUAUGAUCAUGAUUUAAAACAAUAUCAAUGUACUCAUUUAUCAAGAAAAUAACAAUUUAAUUAUUAAAUGGCUUAAGGACUUAAAUUCUACCAUUAUGUAACUAAAUUAUUUGUAUUUAAUUAAAUAAUUAAUCCAAUUUUUAUUUAGUAAAAGGACAAAAUGGUAAUUCAACUUUUCACUUUGAAGCUUCCCACUUAUAAUAAUAUAUGAUUGAAGCAGUGCCGCUUCAAAUAAGAUCUAAAAGGUUGGUCUUGUAAAUAUUAACGGGAUCAAGACUGAGUAGAUGGUCUUAAAAGUGCUAAGAGCAAAUACUGGUUAGUUUGCUACUAAAUAUUAUUACGUGUGUGGUACUCCCAGCUUGACAUAAUAAAACAUUCAAAUCUUAGGAUACCAUAUACUUGGUCAAACUUUAAAAUUUUACACUAAUGGAAAGUUCAAAUCUAUAUAAGAUACUUUCUGGUAUGUAUGAUUUUAUAAGAUAUAUUACAAAUUAUCUGGGGAUUGUGUUUUUUUUUUCUUGAGAAAGGUAACAUUUACUUCUAUAUAUCCACAGAUUCAUCAAAAGACUCUGAGAUAUCUGCACCAAGCAAUUUCAAUUCUUUUUUCUUUUCUUAUUUUUUCUUCUUAUGCGCAUUCAUCAAUGUAAAAUGUUGAUGCAAAACGAAUGUACAGAUCUGUUCAAACUUGUAGUUAGCUCCUUUGCUCAAAGGAGAUUUUAGGUGUUUUAGGAUUUGAGUUGUUAACACAAAUGUAUAGACUUAUUGUGAAAGUAAUGCAGUCAGAAGGCUAAUUAAUCUUUUGGGACUUCGCAUCGUGAUCACUUCCUAGCAAAUCGCACUGUUACUCGAAAGACAUAUUUAAGAUAUUAUGGAAAGUUUCCAACAAGGGGAGCCCCCUUAAUAUUUUUCACCUCAAGAAUUUCUUAGGCAGAAUUCGCAUAAUUAAUACUGUGAGGAUUGAGCUGUCAAAAGAGAUUAUCCAAAUGCUCUUGGAUGGGUAGUCGAAUUGGGGGAUAAAUCUUUUUUUCUCCUUUAUAUAGAAUCUAAUCAAUCUUUUAGAGAUCAUGAGAACCUUGUGAUUUGAUAUAAUUUAUUUAUUUUUAUCAGGUAAAUAUUUUCAUUAUUAACAACACCAAAAAAGGGCAUAUACAAGAGGUAUACCUACCAGUAAAGGACCUACACAAAGAUAUGGUUCUAUACAAAAGACACCCAAUCCUCUAUACAACCCGUAACUACAUGGGUGCAAAAAACAAAUAAGGGAUCGGAGACUACUCCUCAACAGCCAAAAACUCGAUUAAUGCCAUAGGAACAACAUUCUAUGCCCUGCACCUUUCUCCUGCUUCUUCCAGAUUUCCAGUAAAACAACAAAUCUUUCACAAUUUUUGGAAUUGCCCAUGACAUUACAAACCAGCUGAACAUGUCCCACCACAGUCUCGUGGCCUAGCUACAAUGUAGCAGAAGAUGAUUUACGUCUUCGCCAGCCUCCUUGCAUAAGUAAUACCAGCUGAUGCAAAUAACUUUUGUUUUCCUAAGGUUCUUCGACGUCAAGAUCACCCCUCUAGCAGCUAACAAAGUGAAAAGGCACACCUUCCUCGGAACCUUGGGAAUCCGAAUAGACUUAACAGGAAAACCCUCCUCAACUCUCAAUAAAAGCUUCUAAUAGAAGGCUUGACAGAAAAAACACCAUCGUUUCCCAACUUUCAUCUCGUCGAAUCGGGCCUGUCAGCUGCCUCGCAAUGCUGAUGCAGUAACAGUAACAUCCUUUCAAACUCAUUCACCUCCCAAUCCUGGUGAGCUCUCCUGAACCUCAAAUCCUAAAACACUACUUCCCCAUGUGUCCCUGGGGACAUCUGUUGGACUACUGCUCCCAGCUAAAAACUUUCCCGACAGUCACUCAAGCACUUUCACAUAACAAAAAAGCAAAGUGUAUCGUAUCUCAUUCCAUCCGAAUAGGUUUCAAAGCAAUCAGUACAGCGCAACAGAGGAGCCCAUUCAGUAUCGUCUUUGUUUGUGAAUAUUAAUGUGUCCUAUCUUCAUGCUAUAUUAUUCCCAUUGAUUGUGAUCAAACUGUGUUCCGAGUGUCUUUAUAGAGAAGAGAGAAAUCUUCCCUUAAGAUAGUCAGGGAUAAACCGCUCUACAGAACAGGGGACAGGAAGGGAAGUAAAAACCCCGAUAAGAUUAAGCAAUCAGCCGCUGUCACUGACCGGGACACAGAUACAAAUGGUGGAGUACUAUUCUACCACAACGAGACAGGAAUCAUCGAAUCGAAGGUCGAAUAGAAAGCAUUCCCCCCAGUUGAGAGGCUCCAUUUGACAAGACAUCCCAUAAAAGCUCGGAAACUCAUCUUUAAGCCACAUGUCUCCCACUUUUCUUACCCGAGUCUGGGCUCUAUUAUCUGUGUCCUCCAUUGUGUUAAAGUAAUCCCCCAAGACAUCGUUAGCCUCCCGACAUCUACAUAGGACUUCCCUUGGGACCAUAUGUAAGUCCCUCUUCCAUUCCUAAACUUUUCCUCCCUCUAGUUAUCUCACAAGAAGAAUGGCUUCUGAGUAAGUUGGUAAUAUGUGAAGGGAUAAAAUUGAACACACAUCUGUUUGUAACAGAGAAAGACUUCCCCGAAAAGUUAGCGUAAGAUAGCUUGCAAUAUACUAGGCACUCUUUCUUUUUCAAUGUUUCCCUAUUUUCUAACAGAAAAUACAAUCACUUUUGUUCUUAAAUUACCUUCUAAAAAUACUUGGCAUUUCUCUCAUGAUUUUUUCAAAAGCAAAAGUUGGUCAAGAAGAAAAUAAGUUAGAUUACUCAAAAAAUAUUAUAUCAUUUGUCAUGCUUGUAUGGUAUGUUCCACAUAAAGUCAGAAAUGGCCUACAAAUCCUGCCUUUACAAGUCAAGAUGAGAUGCUAAAAAGGGCAAGAUAGGGUAACUGCCUUAUAAGAGAAGCUAAUAUAAACUAGAACUGUUGGCCCUAUGUAACACAUUGAAAUAUUUGAAUGGAUCCUCUUUUUCCUUUGCCUGAUCUAUUAAGCAACAAAUCAACGUUCAUGGAUGACUCAUUCAUGACCCACAACCACUACUUAACUUUAAUGUCAUAUAUAAAUCCGUGUCAUUAUCUUGUCAACCUUUGUCAUACAAGACUAAUAAUUUUACUAUGCACCAAAAGCCUUCUCUUACUUUUACUCAACUUGUAAAAGCAGCUUACAUCAUAAAGAAAAUCUUCCAACUCAAAAGUUGACAACACCACAUGUGCACACAAAUCUUGAAUAAUAAACUAAGACAGCAUGAGAUAGUUUACAGUAAUAAAAAAGACAGAUAAAAGAAGACAUUUUAAAUUGAGAAAUAUUCUACUUUGAUGACCCUAGCUGACUCAUGCAACAGUUAGUAGUUAAAAGAUUCAUCAACUUUGCCCAAACUGCUGUGUAUAUAUAUAGUGCAGCAAGGAAUGUUCUUAAACCAUCAACAAAAAACAUAAUAAUAUCUCAGUUACCUUCACAAUAUAGCAAAUCUCUUCAAAAUCAGAAGUCACAAUGAAGAACUUACUCGGUAGAAAUGAGGUGGGUGUUCCCAUGAGUUCAGCAGUAUACUCAUUUGAACGGCAGCCAAAAAGACUACUGUCUCUAUCUGCUUGCCAAGACCAUCUUCCAUCUGCAACUCUAAAGCACUUGUCGAAAAUAAAGCAAAGUGAGUAUUUUACCUCGAAGGAUAAUCAUUUUGUUCUUGUAUUAGUUAUAAAGAGUAUUAAUGACCCUAGAAGAAGAGAUCAUUAAAAUUAUAUAUUCUUGAAUAUGCAGGAAAAUCUGUAAUUAGUAAGAUGAACAAACUUGGAGAAAGGAUGGACUGUCUUGCACAAGGUAUCCGCGAGCAUGGUGAGCACUUAUAUUCAUGAUGAAAACUUAAAAAGAACAAUCGAAAAUUUACCAAGACAAUAUAUUAUUUAAGUUUAAAACUAGUAUUUCGAAGUUGAAAUUGUGUGCGGACAUGAGUUUACUUCGAAAAGUAAAGGUUGAAGAAUUGUGAAUGAAAACAAUCAUCCCACAAGAAAAAUUCCUAGAACAAGUUUUUAAAUAAUUUUACCACUAUUUCANNNNNNNNNNNNNNNNNNNNNNNNNNNNNNNNNNNNNNNNNNNNNNNNNNNNNNNNNNNNNNNNNNNNNNNNNNNNNNNNNNNNNNNNNNNNNNNNNNNNNNNNNNNNNNNNNNNNNNNNNNNNNNNNNNNNNNNNNNNNNNNNNNNNNNNNNNNNNNNNNNNNNNNNNNNNNNNNNNNNNNNNNNNNNNNNNNNNNNNNNNNNNNNNNNNNNNNNNNNNNNNNNNNNNNNNNNNNNNNNNNNNNNNNNNNNNNNNNNNNNNNNNNNNNNNNNNNNNNNNNNNNNNNNNNNNNNNNNNNNNNNNNNNNNNNNNNNNNNNNNNNNNNNNNNNNNNNNNNNNNNNNNNNNNNNNNNNNNNNNNNNNNNNNNNNNNNNNNNNNNNNNNNNNNNNNNNNNNNNNNNNNNNNNNNNNNNNNNNNNNNNNNNNNNNNNNNNNNNNNNNNNNNNNNNNNNNNNNNNNNNNNNNNNNNNNNNNNNNNNNNNNNNNNNNNNNNNNNNNNNNNNNNNNNNNNNNNNNNNNNNNNNNNNNNNNNNNNNNNNNNNNNNNNNNNNNNNNNNNNNNNNNNNNNNNNNNNNNNNNNNNNNNNNNNNNNNNNNNNNNNNNNNNNNNNNNNNNNNNNNNNNNNNNNNNNNNNNNNNNNNNNNNNNNNNNUCAAGUACUUCAAGCAGCUAAGAAGACAACAUAUUUUCCUUUCUUUUUUCCUUUUUUUUUCUUAUUACACCCAUUCAUCAAUGUAAAAUGUUGAUGAAAAAUGAAUGUACAGAUCUCUUCAAACUUGUAAUUAGUUUCAUUGUUCAAAGGAGAUUUUAGGUUUCUUAGUGAUUGAGCCGUAGCUGUUAACACAAAUGUAUAGACUUAUUGUAAAAGUAAUGCAGUCAGAAGGCUAAUUCAUCUUUUGGUACUUGGCAUAGUCAUCACUUCCUAGCAGAUCGUAAUGCUCCUCAAAAGAAAUAUUUAAAAUAUUAUGGUAAGUUCCCAACAAAGGGAGCUCCCCUUGAUAAUAGAAACACAUUAAAUAACAGAUGGUAACAGGUAACAAAAGCAACAAUCUACAUGAAUAAGACUAAUACUACGACGGAUAUGGUGCUCCCAUCUACCACCAAGCCUAAUCCUAUCAAAAAGCAAGACAACGCUCUACUGCCUACUAACCUUCUACCCUAAUCUACGACCUUCAUACCCUUCUAUCUAAGGUCAUGUCUUCAGUAAGUUGAAGUUGCACUAUGUCCUAUCAGAUCACCUCUCCCCAAUACUUCUUUGGUCUACCUUUGCCUCUCCUCGAACCCACUAUAUCCAACUUCUCACACCUCUUCAUUGGGGCAUAUACACAUCUCCUUUUCAAAUGUCCAAACUAUCUUAGUCAUGCUUCCCUCAUCUUCUUCACCAUUGAGGCCACUCCCACCUUGUCCCUGAUAUCCUCAUUCCUAAUUUAUCGCUCAUAGUAUGCUCAUACAUCCAUCUCAACAUUCUCAUUUUCGCAACUUGCAUCUUCUUAGCAUGAGAGUUCUUGACUGACCAAAACGCAACCCAUACAACAAAGUCAGUCUAACCACCCCUCUAUAGAACUUACCUUUAAGUUUUGAUAGUACCUUUUCAUCACACAAGACUCUGGAGGCAAGCCUCAAUAUCUUCCCCAUAGUACCAAUAUGAUGUGUGACAUCAUUGUCGAUCUCCCCAAUUUCUUAGAUAAAAGAUCCAAAAUACUGAAAAUUUCUCUCUCUCUUGGGGAUAGCCUGUAUAUCAAGCCUCAGUUCCGUGCUUGCCUCAUGCGUUGCAUCACUGAAUUCUCACACCAAAUAUUCUAUUUUGUUCCAACUCAACAUGGACCCCUUAGACUCCAGAGUUUGUCUCUACACCUCCAAACAAAUGUUUACUCGGCCACGAGUCUCAUCAAUCAGUACUAUGUCAUAUACCAAUAAUAAACAUCAUCACACCUCACCAUGAAUAUGCUGCAUCAAUUCAUCAAUCACCAAGGAAAAUAGAAACGAGUUAAGUGUUGAUCCCUGGUGCAAUGCCAUCUCGACUAGAAAGUGCUUUGAGUCUGCUCCCACUAUUCUUACCCGAGUCUUGGCUCUAUUAGUUAUGUCCUUCAUCACCCUAAUGUAAGCCACUAGUACACUUUGGCCUGCCAACAUCUACAUAGGACUUCCCUCGAGACUUAUCUUCUGUUUUUCGAAGUCAGUAGACACCAUAUGUAAGUCCCUUUACCAUUCUCUGUACUUCUCCACCAGUUAACUCACAAGAUGAAUGGUUUCUGAGUAAGUUUGUAAUAUUUGGAGGGCUUAAAUUGAACACACAUAUGUCUGAGAAGAAUAUUGACUUCUCCGAAAGUUAGCAUAAGAUAGCUUGCAAUAUACUAGGCACUCUUUCUUUUUCAAUGUUGUUUCCUAUUUUUCUAACAGAAAAUACAAUCACUUUUUGUUCUUAAAUUACCUUCUAAAAAUACGUGACAUUUCUCUCAUGAUUUUUAAAACGCAAAAGUUGGUCAAGAAGAAAUUAAGUUAAAUCACUCAAAAAAAAUUAUAUCAUUUGUCAUGCAUGAGUGGUAUAUUCCACAUAAAGUCAGAAAUGGCCUACAAAUCCUGCCUUUAAACCUCAAGAUGAGAUGACACAAAAGGUGAGAUAAGGUAACAAGUUGAAAUAUUUGAAUGGUUACUUUUUCCCACUUGCCUGAUUUAUUGGGCAACAAAUCAAAGUUCAUGGAUGACUCAUUCAUGAUCAACAGCCACAACUUAACUUUAAUGUAAUAUAUAAAUCCGUGUCAUUAUAUUGUCAACCUUGAUCAUACAAGACUAAUAAAACUAACUUGAGAUAAUAUUACUAUACACCAAAAGCCUUUUCUUACUUUUACUCAACUUGUAAAAGCAGCUUACAUCAGAAAGCAAAUCUUCCAACUCAAAAGUUGACAACACCACAUGUGCACACAAAUCUUGAUAAUAAAAUAAGACAGCAUGAGAUAGCUUACUGUAAUUAGAAAGACAGAUAAAAGAAGACAUUUUCAAAACCUUUGUAGAAAAUUGAGAAAUAUUCUAUUUUGAUGACCCAUAGCUGACUCAUGCAACAGUUAGUAGUUAAAAGAUUCAUCAACUUGUCCCAAACUGCUGUGUAUAUAUAUACUGCCGCAAGAAUGUUCUUAAACCAUCAACCAAGAACAUAAUAAUAUCUCAGUUACCUUCACAAUAUAGCAAAUCUCUUCAAAAUCAAAAGUCACAAUGAAGAACUUCCUCAGUGGAAAUGAGGUUGGUGUUCCCAUGAGUUCAGCAGUAUGCUCAUUUGAACGGCAGCAAAAAAGACUACUGUCUCUAUCUGCCUGCCAAGACCAUCUUCCAUCUGCAACUUUAAAACACUUGCCUAAAAUAAAGCAAAGUGAGUAUUUCCCCUCGAAGAAUAAUCGACUUGUUCUUUAUUAGUUAUAAAGAGUAUUAAUGACCCUCUAAGAAGAGAUCAUUAAAAUUAAAUAUUCUUGAAUAUGCAGGAAAAUCUGUAAUUAGUAAGAUGAACAAACUAGGAGAAAGGAUGGACUGUAUUGUACAAGGCAUCCGCGAGCAUGGUGAGCACUUAUAUUCAUGAUGAAGACUUAAAAAGAACAAUAAAAUUUUUACAGAGACAAUCAUUUGUUUAAGUCGAAAAUUAGUAUUUUGAAGUUGAAAUUGUGUACGUCCAUCAGGAGGAAAUGAAAAAAGUUAAAGUAUUGUGAAUGAAAACCAUCAUCCCACUAGAAACACUCCUUACACAAGUUUUUUUAUUACUUUCACCACUAUUGCAAAUAUUUAUAAAUAUGGCGCCAAACAUAAACUUGCAAAUAAUGACAUUUUGCAAGUGAAAUCAUGGCCAAACACAAGUGGCAAUAUAAACAACAACAGAUAAAGGGAGCCAAGAUGUACAAAAUUUUGUGCAAUAAGCACUAUUAAUAUGUAUGACAGAAAGUACUGAUUGUAAAGUCCUUAAUUUUCAACUUUAAUUGUGCAGUGAGCCUUAGUCCAAAUCUAACGGAAACUGUGAGGGGAAAAUUGAGCCUUGGAGCAAAAAAUUCUUCAAGUAGGAGGGUUGGAGAAAAUAUUCAAGCAGAAGUUUAGUGUUAACGAUGAUGAAGACCUAUUGAAUGUUUCUCAAUGCUAUUUAUCAACUACCGCUCGUCCAAUAGCAGGCCUCCUCUUCAUCUCUACCGAUAAGAUUGCUUUCUGCAGUGAGAGAUCAAUAAAGUUCUUAUCUCCAACUGGAAAGUUGCUUAGAAUCUACUAUAAGGUACCACUCUGCUCCAUUUUUCUUCCAACUCUUAAUUUGUAUCCACGCAAAGCAUAAUCUAAUAAGCCGGUUCACAAUUGCAGGUAUCGAUCCCAAUAAGUAAGACAAUGAAAGCAAAAGAGAGUGAAAAUAGGGAAAAACCAUCACAGAAGUAUAUACAAGUAAUUACAGAGGAUGAUUUUGAGUUCUGGUUUAUGGGAUUCCUUAAUCAUCAAAAGACUCUGAGAUAUCUGCACCAGGCAAUUUCAAGUACUUCAAGCAGCUAACAAGACAACAUAUUUUCUUUUCUUUUUUCAUUUUCUUUCUUAUUACACCCAUUCAUCAAUGUAAAAUGUUGAUGGAAAAUGAAUGUACAGAUCUCUUCAAACUUGUAAUUAGCUCCAUUGUUCAAAGGAGUUUUAGGUUUCUUAGUCUUUG
This 17694-nucleotide long non-coding RNA is filed under the name Solanum tuberosum (potato). Its description in RNAcentral is "long non-coding RNA (STUB_LNC004338)". Lineage: Eukaryota; Viridiplantae; Streptophyta; Magnoliopsida; Solanales; Solanaceae. The record is from RNAcentral.